GGAGGUAGUGACGUGAAAUAACGAUGCGGGACUCUUCCGAGGCCUCGCAAUCGGAAUGAGUUAACUUUAAAUCCUUUCGACGAGGAUCGAUUGGAGGGCAAGUCUGGUGCCAGCAGCCGCGGUAAUUCCAGCUCCAAUAGCGUAUAUUAAAGUUGCUGCGGUUAAAAAGCUCGUAGUUGAAUCUCACGAUUCAACAGGAGGUAAGCGCCGUGGUGGUAGUAGUAAGUAGCAAUUACAGUAUUGCUACUACUACAAUUCACCUUCUCCUUCUUCUCGUUAGGGUAGAAGAAGGAGGAUGUUGAAGGCUCGAACAGGGUGUUAAUAAUACUGUACCAGUUAAUGUUCAUAAAGUGGUGGUAGUGGAGGCGGUCGUCGUUGUUGCUGCUGCAGCAGCAGCUGCUUCUACUGCUGUGGUAGUGGCAGAAAACGACUGACCGUGGCCGCUGCCGCUUCUACUACUUCGUUCAUCGUCUAUUCCCUAUUCGUUGCAUUGUUUCCUUUUACUACUGGUUCUCUUUCUUCUUUCCAUCCAACGGAAAAGAGAGGGUGAAAAAGAAAAUGCCACGGUGUCGUAAUCGUCCUCGUCGAUAACAAUCAUUAUCCGGCCGGCCAGCGCCAUUAGUAUCCAGCACCAGCAGCAGUAGUGGCGGCGGCAGCCCCCAACCCCAAAUGAGAAGGAGAUUUUGAUCUUAUUAUAAUAAUACUACGAACAUCUACCUCUUCCGCCGGGGCUGCUGCUGCUGCUUCUGCUGCUGCUGCUGCUGCUGGCUCUCGCGCGCUCGCGUUCGGUCGGCAACUUCACUUUGACAAAAUUAGAGUGCUCAGAGCGGGCAAGAUCUGAAGCCCGAAUGGAGGUGCAUAGAAUGAUCUAAGAUGACCUCGCGAUCUAAAC
This 892-nucleotide ribosomal RNA is filed under the name Tylos sp. clade H MM-2013. Its description in RNAcentral is "partial 18S small subunit ribosomal RNA". It matches the Rfam family "Eukaryotic small subunit ribosomal RNA", at positions 460 to 842 of the family's 1831-position model. Lineage: Eukaryota; Metazoa; Arthropoda; Malacostraca; Isopoda; Tylidae. The record is from RNAcentral.